UAAUACAUCGGAACGUGCCCUGUAUGGGGGAGUAACUAGUCGAAAGAUUAGCUAAUACCGCAUACGACCUGAGGGUGAAAGUGGGGGACCGGCAAGGCCUCAUGCUAUAGGAGCGGCCGAUGUCUGAUUAGCUAGUUGGUGAGGUAAAGGCUCACCAAGGCGACGAUCAGUAGCUGGUCUGAGAGGACGAUCAGCCACACUGGGACUGAGACACGGCCCAG
This 221-nucleotide ribosomal RNA is filed under the name uncultured bacterium. RNAcentral's name for it is "partial 16S ribosomal RNA". It matches the Rfam family "Bacterial small subunit ribosomal RNA", at positions 111 to 334 of the family's 1533-position model. The record is from RNAcentral.